Molecule: transfer RNA, 67 nt
Filed under: Apis laboriosa (Himalayan honeybee)
Lineage: Eukaryota; Metazoa; Arthropoda; Insecta; Hymenoptera; Apidae
Description: tRNA-Trp
Source: RNAcentral
AAGAUUUUAAGUUAAAUUUAAACUAUUAAUCUUCAAAAUUAAAAAUAAAAUAAAAUUUUAAAUCUUA